AGUUCCCCUUCAUCUUCCCCCUCAGCAACAUCUGCUUCAUAAUCCUUCUCCGUGGCAGCUAUGUCCUCCUGGAGAGCUCUCCUUCCUUCUUACUCUCCCCGACAUACCAAUGGAAAAAGGCAUGCUUGGCAAACAUCAGCUCAAACUUGUGGUCCAGGCAAGCCCAGGCUUCCACAAUGGUGGUUGUGUUGCUCGGCAUGCUAUACUUUGGCCAGGUCACCCCAGGGACCACUGUAGGGGGCUGGUAGUUGAUGCCCACUUUGAAACCAGUAGGGCAUGCUAUGCUUGGUCUUGAUGGUGGCAAUAGCAACACUUGUCAGAGUAAUUUACGCAGCACAGCAGCAGUUGGAUGGAGUCAGUGGAAUGGAGAACGAAGAGACACCCAGAGACAUUGGUAAAACUAUAUACAAAGUUUUACUGUACAAGACAAACAGACUUGCAGAAAAUAGACACAGGACUCUCACUCUAGGCAGACAGAACUGAACUGAACUGAUGUAAUCAGUAAUGCACAAACACUUGUGUCUGGACACUCCCCAGUUCCAGCCACACAUCAAGGUCAUCACAGCUUCUCAGUAAUUAACUCUUUACAGACUAUAGUACACUCUGGAUGAUGCAAUCAGUAUGCAAUACAAACCAAGACACAAAUUGCAUUUAAACACUAUCAAUACACAAAUCCCACAUUAACAACACUGAUAUCUUUAGGAACCACAUCCCCACAGUACAAGAGGCAGCAGUCCAUGUAUUUACUGUGAUGAGGAUCGCAUUUCAUUACCUAGUUGGCUGGUGUCAUGUAUCAUGUUCCACAGUUGAUGGUUGUUGGUGGUGUCAUGCCUAGCAGUUGGUGAUGGAAGGGGUUAAUGUCAGUCCUAGUUCUAAAGGGCAGAGUAAUCUGUAAGUAAGAAUUUGCAGGUGAGAGCAAUUAAGGGUGGAGGCCUGCAAGAGAUAGGAUGCAGCUGGGUUUAACUGGUUAUAAGGAGCUGGAAACUGAUCUUUGGGAGAAAAGUAUUUGUCCUACUUUGGCUGUGGAUGCUGAUGGUUUUCCCCCCAGGUUUGUGGAUUUUUGGUAUCCUGACCAGUCUCCUGAACUCUUGGAACUCUGGAACCUUGAAUCUCUGGACUGACUAGUAAUAAAUACAGUCAGCCCUCCGUAUGUGCAAGUUUCCUUUUUGUGGGUUUUAUUAAUAGUGUGAUUCCAGGUGUGGUCUGACCAAGGGUAGCAUCACCUCCCUGGUUUUAGACAUUAGACUCCUAUUUAUGCAGGCCAAAAUCCCAUUGGCUUUUUAAGCUGCCGUAUCACAUUGUCAGCUCAGGUUUAACUUGUCCAUGAGAACAACACUAGUUUUGUCAACAUCUCCUGUCUCCGCCAUCCAACCAAUUUAACAGUCAUCAAGCACAUUGAGCAAUGGUCAGAUGGUAACUGGGGUGCAGCAAGAUGAAGUCUUCAGCUUUCUCUUGCCAGUGAAUGAGUCUGUGAGAUAUUAUGUUGGGGUUCUGCUUAGGUUGCCUCAGCUUUCCUGUUCAGGAGACGAUUGGAAACACCAUCCUCCUGAGACUCAUCACCAUCCGAAUAAUCUCCACUAUCCAAUGUAGCUGCUGGCUCCUAAGGGUUGUACAGCGUAUUCAGCCCUGAGAAAUGUAUGCUGUGUUGGUUGGGGGCCACAAACAUGGCACAGGGUGCAUCUACACUGUAGAAUUAAUGCAGUUUGACAUCACUUUUAACUGUCACGGCUCAAUGCUAUGGACUAUGGAAAACUCACAGCAACCCAGUGAUUCCGGCCAUGAAGCAUUCGACAACACAGUUCUCUGGUUCUUCAGCCUUGAUGUGGAUUUUUUCAGUCUAUUUUGGAGAAGCCCAUGGAGAAAUGUCUCAAUGUAUCCGACACCAGUUUGAAUCCAUUGCUCCAUUGUGUCGUACACCAUUGGAAACCAAACCUGCUCCAUCUUCAAUAUGGCACCUGGUCAAAUAUUUAAACAUGGAUAUCAUGUCCCUUCUCCACCUCCUCUUCUCCAGGCUAAACUCAAAAGGCUCUCUCUAAAGUCUUCUAGAUCUUUGGCCAUUGUGGUUGCCCUUCUCUGGACACUCUCCAUCUUGUUCAUAUUGAACUGGACACAGUGUUAUUCCAGGUGAGGACUGACCAAUGCAGAAGAGAGGAGACUUUUCUCGAUCUCAACAAUAUCCUUCUGUCCAUGCAGCCUUGAAUUGCAUUGGCUGUUGACUAAUGUCCAGCUUGUGCUCUACUAAGAGUCCUAGAUGUCUUUGACAUGGACUGUUUUUCAAGCAAGGUGUCUCCCAUCUUCUAUCUCUGCAAUUUAGUCUAGUAAAGGCUGUGGUGCAGGCUGGUGAGCAGCCAGCUGCAGCCAGCUGCAACAAAUCACUCUGACCAGAGGUCAUGGGUUCGAUACCAGCUCGGAGCCUGCGUUUGUCUCUGUCUUUGUUCUAUGUUAAGGCAUUGAAUGUUUGCCUUAUAUGUGUAAUGUGAUCCGCCCUGAGUCCCCUUCGGGGUGAGAAGGGUGGAAUAUAAAUACUGUAAAUAAAUAAAUAAAUAAAUAAAUAAAAGUAUUCCAGGAAUGUUUUGCUUCCCUCGAACUUGACAUUAUAACAUUAAUAAUAACAUGGCUGUGUGCACAAGCUUUUAACGAGUAAUAUGAUAACGUCGACAUGGUCCGAUUGAAGGCUGAAGCAUGAGGUUUUUAGACAAAUGGAUCUAAUUUACUUAUGUUUUAAUUUUUAUAAUGUAUUUUAAUGAUGUAUUUUUAUAGUUUUAAUUGAUUAUAUGUACUGUUUUUUGUUUUAUUAUUAUGUUCUUGGCAUUAAAUGUUGCCAACUGUGUAAGCCGCCCUGAGUCCCCCCGGGUGAGAAGGGCGGGGUAUAAAUUCUGGAAAUAAAUAAAUAAAUAAAUAAAU
Molecule: long non-coding RNA, 2904 nt
Organism: Anolis carolinensis (green anole)
Lineage: Eukaryota; Metazoa; Chordata; Lepidosauria; Squamata; Anolidae
Exons: 3
Source: RefSeq, a predicted model, not a curated record